Long non-coding RNA from Salvelinus sp. IW2-2015, 110 nucleotides. RefSeq lists it as uncharacterized. The record is from RefSeq and is a predicted model, not a curated record. Lineage: Eukaryota; Metazoa; Chordata; Actinopteri; Salmoniformes; Salmonidae.
GGAGGAUCCACACUGCAGACUGGAGAAACUCAAUGUGGAACAUGGUGGAGAGUACACAAUGAAACCUGGGCUUAGAAAAUAUGUCUGUGAUCUCACACUGGACCCAAACA